Long non-coding RNA from Zingiber officinale, 218 nucleotides. RefSeq lists it as uncharacterized. The record is from RefSeq and is a predicted model, not a curated record. Lineage: Eukaryota; Viridiplantae; Streptophyta; Magnoliopsida; Zingiberales; Zingiberaceae. The transcript is spliced from 3 exons.
ACAAAAUUCUUGCUUCUGCUGUUCAUGUGGCUGCUUGAUCAGCAACUUGGCCCCUGUAGCACGGAUCCACAGGAUGUCUAUGCUCUCAGAUCUCUUUCUGGUGAAUGGAAAAAUGGACCUUCGAGUUGGAGGCACUCAGAUGAUCCGUGUGGUAAUUGGGAUGGAGUUAAUUGUAGCAACUCAAUAAGGGUCACAGAGCUGAAGCUAUUCAACAUGGG